UGUGGGAGCGAGCCUGCUCGCGAAAGCGUCGGCACAUCCAGCAUCCAUGUGUCUGGCGUAGCGUCUUCGCGAGCAGGCUCGCUCCCACA
This 89-nucleotide unclassified non-coding RNA is filed under the name Pseudomonas reinekei. Lineage: Bacteria; Pseudomonadati; Pseudomonadota; Gammaproteobacteria; Pseudomonadales; Pseudomonadaceae. The record is from RNAcentral.